UACGGAGGGUGCAAGCGUUAUCCGGAUUCACUGGGUUUAAAGGGUGCGUAGGUGGGCAAGUAAGUCAGUGGUGAAAUCUCCGGGCUUAACCCGGAAACUGCCAUUGAUACUAUUUGUCUUGAAUACUGUGGAGGUCAGCGGAAUAUGUCAUGUAGCGGUGAAAUGCUUAGAUAUGACACAGAACACCGAUUGCGAAGGCAGCUAGCUAGACAGACAUUGACGCUGAGGCACGAAAGCGUGGGGAUCAAACAGG
Molecule: ribosomal RNA, 253 nt
Filed under: uncultured bacterium
Lineage: Bacteria
Description: partial 16S ribosomal RNA
Rfam family: Bacterial small subunit ribosomal RNA
Source: RNAcentral